AAUGAACGUUGGCGGCAUGGAUUAGGCAUGCAAGUCGAGCGAGAACCGUAGCAAUACGGGGACAGCGGCGAAAGGGAGAGUAAUGUGUGGAUAUCUACCUCCAGGCCUGGGACAACUACGGGAAACUGUAGCCAAUACCAGAUAAUGUCUGCGGACCAAAGGUGUGAUUCCUCCGGGAGAUGAGUCCACAUCCUAUUAGCUAGUUGGUAGGGUAAUAGCCUACCAAGGCAAUGAUGGGUAGCAGGUGUGAGAGCACGACCUGCCUCAUUGGGACUGAGACACUGCCCAGACACCGACGGGUGGCUGCAGUUGAGAAUCUUCGGCAAUGGGCGCAAGCCUGACCGAGCGAUGCGGCGUGCGGGAUGAAGGCCUUCGGGUUGUAAACCGCUGUCAGAGGGGAUGAAAUACGUCGGGGGUUCUCCCCCGGGUUUGACAUAUCCUCAGAGGAAGGACGGGCUAAGUUCGGGCCAGCAGCCGCCGUAA
RNAcentral lists this ribosomal RNA (483 nucleotides) under uncultured bacterium. RNAcentral describes it as "partial 16S ribosomal RNA". It matches the Rfam family "Bacterial small subunit ribosomal RNA", at positions 29 to 523 of the family's 1533-position model. The record is from RNAcentral.